CCCUCCCGAGUAUGGAACUAGAGCCCAUUGUUAUAACGAGAGUCUUUUGUAAGGAUUAAAAUUCUAUCGUAAUUUGAUCUCCUCGAGUAAAAAUUCAUGUGCUUGAUCUGGUAGUUAAUUAAUAUUUAUCCUUUUGUAAAGCUCUAGGCGGCUCGCAAGGGGUGAAUUGAUCAAAUACAGCGUCAAAAAGAGUGGGCUUCUUGUAAUUGUCAUCGUUGCGUGCAUGGGAGUCAGAUAAAGCCAACUUCAUUAGACAGCAGUAUCUGAAAGUCUUAAUUAGGGUGGUGAUGGAGGAGAAUAAUGCCGGUUUUUCAGGGGUUUUGAUGAUUGCCGUUCUUCUGAAGUUAAUUUGCCAUUUUUCUUAAGUUAAAUGACAUCUUCACUAUUUUAUUAAAUAACACCCAAUUGGUUGAGUUGUGGGCACCUCAUUGCCUCAACUCUUGAGGUAAAGAAUUUUGAGUUCGCCAAUCUAUUUUGUAGAGAUAGAUUUUUCUCCAAAUAUUUAGAUCAGCAAAUCCAUAUUACACUAUCAUAUAACUAAGUUUAGAAGGCCUUGGAAUUUUUUCAUAGUGUAAUUUUUUUAAAAAAAAAAAUUCAAUAUAAUAUAUAUCCUACGUGGACCUUGCAUUAGUUCGAGAGUACGAUAGAUCUUAACACAAAUGAAAUGAGGAAACUCUUGCUAAUAAACAAUCCUACAAUGUUAGGGUAGAGUUUACUAGUUUUCACUUUCACUAUAACUUUACAUCUCUUACUCACCCAACCGCUUUUGUACCAGAAUAUCAUUUAUAGAAAGUUUUGAGUUUGAUAUCUUAAAACAAAGUUGUUAAGCUACGUAGCUUUCACUUUCAAAUAAUUGAGAGUGAUACUGACUCUUAUUACUGCAAUUUUUCUUGGAUCUUGCAUCAGCUGCACCAUACAUCCGUCACUGGUUUUAUGUUAUCCAUAAUAAGGUUUUUAUUAAUAGUAACAAGUUUCAUUAGAUGUAAUAAGCUUCCGUAAUAUAUAUAUAUUUCUGUGUGUGUGUGUGUGUGUGUGUUACGGGUCUUAAAUUUAUUUAUUUUUAAAGUCUUAUUAUAUUUUAAAAGUAUGACAUGAAUUUGAGUUUAGUGAGUCAAGGGUUGUUAAGUUGGACCUAAUCUUGUAGGAAGAAUUAGUUUUCCCUGUUUCUUUGGGAUUUGGUCAAUAAGUUAGUUUCGAUUGUACUUGAUGGCUAUUUAAACCAUGAAAGACUUGAAUAAAUGCAUGAGUAAGUUAUUCCAAAUCAAAUCUACUUGUGCGGUUGAGGCCAAGAUUUCUCUGUUAAUCUUAAACUCUAGUUUUAAAAUUUAUUCAUCAUAGGUUCCAACAAAAAUAAAAGAACCAAUCCUCAGUUUGUGGACGUAUGUACAAAAAUAUAAGUUGUAUAUAUAAUGAAAAAUUUGUUAUUAAUAAUGAAAGCACAAGUUGUUUCGAGCGGUGACUUUUAAUCUGGGUUGUGGUACAGGUUUAAAGGUGCCUCCUAUAAUUGGGGCCUUCCCUAAGAUACUUCGUGGUUAUGACAAAAAAAUAAUAAUAAUAAUGAAAGCACGACUAAAUCAGAUACAUGAAAUAGUUACAGUGUCUUGAUCACACACCCAAUUUUAAGCUAUGCUAUGAGACCAUUAUAUAAAUGUAAAAUCACAAAUUUAUUAUUAUUAUUAUUAUUAUUGUUAACAAAAUGCACGAGUAACAUUAACAACUAAGACUAAGAAUCAAUUUUGACCCUAUAUGUAACAGAAUGAACAAGUAGCUCUUAAAACCAAUGGCUUAAUGAAAAACAAUACAGAUCGUAAACGACAUUUUGAACUUUAAUAAGAAGAGGACGUGGUUUUUCAAAUUGAAAAAAAGACAAAUGGUUUUAGAAUCUGGCUUUAGGAAAAACUUUUGGUCACAUUUUUAUUCACCCUUUGUUUGGUUACCCUCGGUUUUUUUGCUUACAAUGCUAUUAUACCAUAUUGAUUCACUUUAUUAGUGUACGAUUGAUUGGCGUCUUUAGAUUUAAUUUUUGUGUAUUUAAUUCUUUGUUGUGUUAAUUAUAUAUUUAUUAAUUUUUUCACUAUUGGGUGAUACUUGUACGUUGUCAGUCAGUCAAUAAAUUAUGAUUUUGGUAAUUAUAUGAGUAUUUUUAAGAAUAAAUAUAUAAUUUUUUGGUCAAAAUUAGUUAUAGAUAAUUAAAAUGCAGUGUUUUUUUAUCAAAAUAGUUUUUUGAGGAAAGUUUAUCUCAAUUCUCAAUCUAUAUAAUAUUACAUUAAUGCAAUAUACAUUAAAAAUUUACUUAUAGAAUCAUGGGACCUUGAAGCUUAACUUAAUGUCUAUUUGAGCCCAUCGUCUA
Molecule: long non-coding RNA, 2350 nt
Filed under: Citrus x clementina
Lineage: Eukaryota; Viridiplantae; Streptophyta; Magnoliopsida; Sapindales; Rutaceae
Description: Citrus clementina (C. clementina) long non-coding RNA (CCLE_LNC000340)
Source: RNAcentral